RNAcentral lists this ribosomal RNA (497 nucleotides) under uncultured bacterium. RNAcentral's name for it is "partial 16S ribosomal RNA". It matches the Rfam family "Bacterial small subunit ribosomal RNA", at positions 28 to 507 of the family's 1533-position model. The record is from RNAcentral.
GACGAACGCUGGCGGCGUGCCUAAUACAUGCAAGUAGAACGCUGAAGAGAGGAGCUUACUCUUCUUGGAUGAGUUGCGAACGGGUGAGUAACGCGUAGGUAACCUGCCUUGUAGCGGGGGAUAACUAUUGGAAACGAUAGCUAAUACCGCAUAACAUUGGAUGCCACAUGUCAUUUUUUUGAAAGGGGCAAUUGCUCCACUACAAGAUGGACCUGCGUUGUAUUAGCUAGUAGGUGAGGUAAUGGCUCACCUAGGCGACGAUACAUAGCCGACCUGAGAGGGUGAUCGGCCACACUGGGACUGAGACACGGCCCAGACUCCUACGGGAGGCAGCAGGAGGGGAGCUUCGGCAAUAGGGGCAAACCUGAACGAGCAAAGCCGGGGGAGUGAAGGAGGGUUUCGGGUCGUAAAGCUCUGUUGUAAGUCAAGAACGGGUGUGAGAGUGGAAAGUGCACACUGUGACGGUAGCUUACCAGAAAGGGACGGCUAACUACGUG